This 253-nucleotide ribosomal RNA is filed under the name uncultured bacterium. RNAcentral describes it as "partial 16S ribosomal RNA". It matches the Rfam family "Bacterial small subunit ribosomal RNA", at positions 524 to 776 of the family's 1533-position model. The record is from RNAcentral.
GACGUAGGGCGCGAGCGUUGUCCGGAUUUAUUGGGCGUAAAGAGCUCGUAGGCGGCUUGUCGCGUCGUCCGUGAAAACCCACAGCUCAACUGUGGGCUUGCGGUCGAUACGGGCAGGCUAGAGUUCGGUAGGGGAGACUGGAAUUCCUGGUGUAGCGGUGAAAUGCGCAGAUAUCAGGAGGAACACCGGUGGCGAAGGCGGGUCUCUGGGCCGAUACUGACGCUGAGGAGCGAAAGCGCGGGGAGCGAACAGG